UGAAUAAACUGAUACCGAAUGG
This 22-nucleotide non-coding RNA is filed under the name Sclerotinia trifoliorum. Lineage: Eukaryota; Fungi; Ascomycota; Leotiomycetes; Helotiales; Sclerotiniaceae. The record is from RNAcentral.